RNAcentral lists this unclassified non-coding RNA (203 nucleotides) under Hevea brasiliensis (rubber tree). The record is from RNAcentral. Lineage: Eukaryota; Viridiplantae; Streptophyta; Magnoliopsida; Malpighiales; Euphorbiaceae.
UCUCUUUGUGAUACCAAGCAAGGUUACACGCAGUUUGGUGGGCUCCGCCCAUUUGGUGUCUCAUUUCUCUUUGCAGGUUGGGAUAAAAAUUUUGGUUUCCAGCUUUUCAUGAGUGAUCCUAGUGGAAACUAUGGUGGUUGGAAGGCUGGAGCCAUUGGGGCAAACAACCAGGCUGCACAGUCAAUGUUGAAGCAGGACUACAA